Molecule: ribosomal RNA, 255 nt
Filed under: uncultured bacterium
Lineage: Bacteria
Description: partial 16S ribosomal RNA
Rfam family: Bacterial small subunit ribosomal RNA
Source: RNAcentral
UACGUAGGGUGCGAGCGUUUAAUCGGAAUUACUGGGCGUAAAGCGUGCGCAGGCGGUUUUGUAAGCCAGAUGUGAAAUCCCCGGGCUUAACCUGGGAAUGGCAUUUGGGACUGCAAGGCUUGAGUGCGGCAGAGGAGACUGGAAUUCCUGGCGUAGCAGUGAAAUGCGUAGAUAUCAGGAGGAACACCGAUGGCGAAGGCAGGUCUCUGGGCUGACACUGACGCUCAUGCACGAAAGGCGUGGGGAGCAAACAGG